AUAAACCAUCAAGUCUUUUUAUAUAUAUAAUUUGAAUAAUUAAUAUGAAUUAGAUAGGCAACAUUAAAAACCAUAUCAUGAUUUACGAACAAUGCAUGUAUACAAACAGGCCAUAAAAUUAAAACACAAUUUAAAGGUAGCCUAUCGAAUGAUCGCAUUGACAGUCUGAAUAAUGUGUAAAGACAGAACCGGCAGGAUGACGGCAAUAAAGACACAAUCGUAUGAAAUAAAGAUCCUAAACGUUUUAGCAGGCAAUACUGACCCAAAACAAGAUACGGCA
This 280-nucleotide long non-coding RNA is filed under the name Mytilus galloprovincialis (Mediterranean mussel). Lineage: Eukaryota; Metazoa; Mollusca; Bivalvia; Mytilida; Mytilidae. The record is from RNAcentral.